RNAcentral lists this ribosomal RNA (669 nucleotides) under uncultured bacterium. Its description in RNAcentral is "bacterial SSU rRNA". It matches the Rfam family "Bacterial small subunit ribosomal RNA", at positions 61 to 709 of the family's 1533-position model. The record is from RNAcentral.
GUCGAACGCGAGAGUCCCGCAAGGGAUGAGUAGCGUGGCAAACGGGUGAGUAACACGUGGGUGACCUGCCUUCGAGUGGGGGAUAACGUCCCGAAAGGGACGCUAAUACCGCAUGAUAUCCUGCUUUUGAAGAGGUGGAGAUCAAAGCCGGGGAUCGCAAGACCUGGCGCUUGAAGAGGGGCCCGCGCCUGAUUAGCUAGUUGGUGAGGCAACGGCUCACCAAGGCAACGAUCAGUAUCCGGCCUGAGAGGGCGGACGGACACACUGGGACUGAGACACGGCCCAGACUCCUACGGGAGGCAGCAGUGGGGAAUUGUUCGCAAUGGGCGCAAGCCUGACGACGCAACGCCGCGUGGAGGACGAAGAUCUUCGGGUCGUAAACUCCUGUCGAGUGGGAAGAACAAUUCGGGGAUGAAUACUCUCCGGACUUGACGGUACCACUAAAGGAAGCCCCGGCUAACUCCGUGCCAGCAGCCGCGGUAAUACGGGGGGGGCAAGCGUUGUUCGGAAUUACUGGGCGUAAAGGGCUCGUAGGCGGCCAACUAAGUCAGACGUGAAAUCCCCAGGCUCAACCUGGGAACUGCGUCUGAUACUGGAUGGCUUGAAUUCGGGAGAGGGAUGCAGAAUUCCAGGUGUAGCGGUGAAAUGCGUAGAUAUCUGGAGGAAUAC